This 425-nucleotide ribosomal RNA is filed under the name uncultured bacterium. Its description in RNAcentral is "partial 16S ribosomal RNA". It matches the Rfam family "Bacterial small subunit ribosomal RNA", at positions 354 to 796 of the family's 1533-position model. The record is from RNAcentral.
GUGGGGAAUAUUGGGCAAUGGGCGAAAGCCUGACCCAGCAACGCCGCGUGAAGGAAGAAGGUCUUCGGAUCGUAAACUUCUAUCCUUGGUGAAGAUAAUGACGGUAGCCGAGAAGGAAGCCCCGGCUAACUACGUGCCAGCAGCCGCGGUAAUACGUAGGGGGCAAGCGUUGUCCGGAAUGAUUGGGCGUAAAGGGUGCGUAGGCGGCCUGGUAAGUCUGGAGUGAAAGUCCUGCUUUUAAGGUGGGAAUUGCUUUGGAUACUGUCGGGCUUGAGUGCAGGAGAGGUAAGUGGAAUUCCCGGUGUAGCGGUGAAAUGCGUAGAGAUCGGGAGGAACACCAGUGGCGAAGGCGGCUUACUGGACUGUAACUGACGCUGAGGCGCGAAAGUGUGGGGAGCAAACAGGAUUAGAAACCCCGGUAGUCC